Molecule: unclassified non-coding RNA, 441 nt
Filed under: Hevea brasiliensis (rubber tree)
Lineage: Eukaryota; Viridiplantae; Streptophyta; Magnoliopsida; Malpighiales; Euphorbiaceae
Source: RNAcentral
GGCCACCAAGUAUGCAGUUGUUUCAGAAGGAUACAAGUGGAGCUAAUGAGGAUAAGGUUGUUGGAAAUGAAAAGCAUGUUGUCCACAUCGAGAAACAAGAAAGACGUUCUAGGAAUAGAGAUAGGCCUGAUCGUGGUGUUUGGGCUCCUCUUCGUCGCGCUGAUAGUUCACAAGCCAGUAAUGGAUCAUUAUCAUCUGGUAAUCCUCAGUCUUCCCAAGUGCGGGAGUUUGUUGAAGGGGGUCAAGGAGAAACGAAAAAUGAUCUGCCAAUUGCACGAGGUAGUGAGUUCAGACCAAUUGGAAUUGGGCGUCAUACUAACUCUUCUACUGAUAAUGGUAACUAUAAACAUGGUGGUCGUCGUGGUUUGAGGGAUGUGGAUGACACUUCUAUUGGGGAAGGAAAACCCGUGAGAAGGGGAGGCACUUCUGCUUACAAUUCUC